AUAAAAAAACAUGUUAAGAAAAGGUUGCUUGAGAAGGGCUCUUCAAAGCAGCAGCAUCUUGCAUUCUUCUCGCGUUCUCGCAGAUCUAAAAAUAGCCUCGACUCUUCACGCUCGCUCGGAUCCAACGGAAGCCGUCGGCGACACGUUGAACCAGAACUCUCACAACAAACAACGAGCGGCCGCCAGAUGUGUUUAAGCUGCAUUUGAGACCCGUCCAACCCUUCACACACACCCACCACCCCCCCCUCCCCCCGCACCUUUCCCCUCAUCCAACUUUCCUUCCCACUACAGACCUUCUCUGACAAAUUAAUGAUCAUGAAGUCACAGUUUCCCCCCUCGGCCUGCACAUUAGAUUUUAUUCACUCGGCUGCGAAUCCGUUUGGUGAUUAAACUGACGAGCAGCCGACGAGAGCAGCGAGGAGAGAAACGCUUCUAUUUAACUAAACAUCUUUCUGAGGAGUCUCCCCUCGGCUUCCCUCUGCUUCUGUGAGCGAACAAUGGGGGGUGUUUGCCCCGGACACGCUUCAGAGGUAGUCAAAACACUUGAGAACGUCCCUUUGAGGUUUGCUGAGCGGAGAGGUUCGAUCUUGGGGGGCAGAUAAGGAGCUUAUAAGGACCCCCCCCGAUGCUCCUUCGACUGGGUUGUGUGGCUGUAUGUUGUGUCUCCACGAAGGACACCCGUAUCCUUUUUUUUCCUUUUUAGAUUUGUUACUUUGGGUUCAAACAACGAGUUGCGGUCCGGAAGUCGGCGCCUGUCCGUCGUUAUUUCUGUCAUCGGCGUCUCUUUGCCAAACGCCGCUUGUUUGAUCAGCUCUUCCUUCCCAUCGGGCCUCCGGCUUUCCAGCUGUCGGGGAGGAAGACCAGCGGAGUUUAUUUUGACGUAGAUGUGAUUCAUCGAGACGAGGUCCGAAAUCCUCGACCUGAACCACACGCAGAAGCUCUGCAGAGGGGAGCGGCUUCAUGCCGCUGCUUUCCAACAGAAACCUUCUUCCCUUUCAAGCACCAGAUCUGAAAUGCUUGUUUUAGUUGUGUUUGGGUAAAACGUAUUGUGCACGUUGGAUUCACUCCUUAGCGAUGCUGCCCAAAAGAACAAAAGGCCGGAUUAACUGCUUCUGUUUUCAGAGCGCGGUUCAGGUGGUUCUCCUCCAGGCUGUUGUGCUUGGCCAGCGGCACCGGUCGGGUCUGAGACUCCAGGAAGCCGCUCCCUGCCGUCCAGUCUCUGCUUGUGUGCUGCUUCCUCUGCAAACAUGCCUGUUGAUGUGAGAAGUCACAGGAGGUCUGACGGAAGAGACCAACAAACACACACACACGGCAUGUUUCGCCUGGAUGGAUCACGCCAGCGGUCCGAUUGGAGGUGGGAAGGCGCGGCGAUGGUUUUGCUAACGCUUCUUUUGAAGCAUUGAUGGUUUGAAUUAGGAGGAGAAGGAAUCUGUUUUGCCCGUUUCUCACAAGACUUGAAGAUUUAUUAAUAGCGACCCACCGCAGAUAUCAGAUUUUCCUCAGGUUUCGGUCUCGUGGCUCCUCUUCUGAACACAGAACCCAGUGUUCGUCUUGUGUUUCCCUCCGCGUGGUCCCACCUCUCCUGCAGCCCUCUCUCAACCUUUAACCCCCACCCAGGCACAGCUCGAUUGUGCUGAUGUCAUGAUAUCCGUGCACCGCUUUAACUACGUCAGCCUCUGACUCAGACGACGACAGCUGUGCGCGUGACUGAACAUCUGCAUCGGGCGUCGCGUGUCUCACGGAAGGACUUUGACACUCGUACCUGUUAAUUAACGCGCAAAGACGAGACGUUGCACACGCAGAGCAGGUGAUGCCGUCAGCCACACUUUGUCACCAGGGCGAUCACCUCCGGAUGGCGGAGGAAUCCCAUCCUGAAUCACAAAGUUAUGCUAAGCUAAUGCUGCUCUCAAGAGCCAGGUUGGAAUUUAUUUAAUAGCCACAUGCAAAUUGAGGUAAUAGUCGUAUUUACGGCUAAAAAGUGCUCUUCAAAGAACAAACUUUGAGAAGUUUGAAUCCUGAUAUUUUGCUAAAAGUCUGUUGCAUAAAGCGGCCGCGGCACCAUGACGCCUUUCUGCGUGUAGAGAGUCUGUUCAUCUCUGCAGAAGCACGACGCUCUGACCUGCAUCGGUUCCAUUUCCCACACUGGCUGGAAGUAAAAGGUCGUGACCUGUGGUAUUUUUACUCGCGGCCCCUCACCGUUAUCGUGGGGCCCUAUUUCAGGCUCCUUAUAAAUCCUGUUGAUCCGACACACCUUCAGGAGCACAAAUCCACCGCCCCGCUCCCCGUGUCCGCAGUCACAUUAUCUGUUCAUUGUUUUUGGAUUCAACACUUUCAUCAAACGCUGAUUGUUUCCAAACUAAAAAACGUUUUUUCUUUUAUUAGGGAAGCCAAAUUAAGAGUAAUUGUUUUUAUUAUUCAUUACAUUGUUUUUCUUUUUAAUUAGUCUACAUGAUUGUUUAAUAGUCAAUUGAUAAUUUUCUUAUUUAGUAGCAAUGUUUUGGUUUAAAUGUUUUGUAUUCAUUUGUACAUUGGAAUUAUUUUAAUAGCUUUCAAAAUCCUUUCCAAUUUAGAUCAACAAAUAAAGAUUAUUAUUGAUGGACACAUUUGGGCAAAAACCGAAAACUUCUCAACAUUUUGACUUGGUAACAGAAAAGAAAAUACGCGCAGUAGCAAACUGAUCUGAUUUCCUUUUUGUUUGUUCGUUAAAUUAUAAUAUUCACCUCAGUUGUUAAAGCUAAAAUAUAGUGUGUAUAUAUAUAUAUAUAUAUAUAUAUAUAUAUUAUAUAUAUACUAACCAUCUACUUCUUAGAUAUCCAUCAAGUCAUAUUGUCUCUAUUAUUUAAAAAACAUCUGCAUUAGUUGUUUGCUCUGUAAACACGCGUUUGUCCUCCAGAUGGGAUCUACUGUCCUCGUCAUCGGACCAACCGGCUGCCGUGAGUUUGUUUUCCUCUGAAUCCCACAGGCGUGUUUGUUGUGUUUGUCCACCAUAAAGUGACGUCUGUCUGCCGAGUGGAAGACGACACCUUAUCAAGCUGUAGGGAAAUUACCCCCCCCCCAUAAAACAGUUGUUUUAUUUCAGAUGUUAGAGAACAACUGGACUGUUUCUGAGGUGGAGGUGAUGUCUUCAUGUAGUUAGAAUGCUUUAAAGUGCACAGACACGCCAUUUCUGUCAGGUUUUAAUUGUAUGUGGAUUAUUUUUCAUGCCCCGUUGUUUGUUUAGUCAAAUGUGUCGUUGCCUUUAAUCCUAUUCCUUUGCAUGCUCUUCGUGGGGUGUUGGCAGACUUUCAGUGCGGCUGCCUCUCAAAGGCUCAUUUUGACUUCUCGGCCUGAUGUCACAUCUUCUUCUUUGGUGUUUAAUGAUACUGUUACAAAUCCACAGGCACAUCAACUUUGAAUUUGGCUACGACUAAAAUAAAAACACUAUAGUCCCUUAAAAACGUGUUGUGUGUGUGUGUGUUGAGGGGAAUUCUCUGUCUCCACCACGUGGAACCCAACGUGCUCGGUCUCGGCGGUCCCUUUGAGGCGAGCUCGUCCCACCGGUCGGAUGCGAGUGGGUCUGAGAAAGGGGGGUGUGAGGAGGAGUGAGGAGGUUUCUGAUUUUGCUACUGAAGGGAGCAUCUUAUCGACUCCUGCAGUGUCCUCGCGUCCGUCAACGUGUUCGGUAACGAGCGGUUAAAAUUUAUGAAAAGAAAAAUCAGAGAUAAAGUUGAAAGAAAAAAGCACCGUAACAAUCCUGGGACAUAAACAAUGCAUUUUGUACUUAAUAACAGUGAGUAAUGGUGGGAUCUAUGUUUUAAAGAAACAGUUAGUUAGUAAAAUGGUUGUAGAUUUAUCUAAUUAUAUUCAAUGUGUGUUGAUGUUCUUCUUCGAGUUUUAGGAGUAAUAUUGUUUGCUGUUGGACU
Gasterosteus aculeatus aculeatus (three-spined stickleback) is the source of this 3902-nucleotide long non-coding RNA. Lineage: Eukaryota; Metazoa; Chordata; Actinopteri; Perciformes; Gasterosteidae. The record is from Ensembl.